RNAcentral lists this ribosomal RNA (277 nucleotides) under uncultured prokaryote. Its description in RNAcentral is "partial 16S ribosomal RNA". It matches the Rfam family "Bacterial small subunit ribosomal RNA", at positions 524 to 800 of the family's 1533-position model. The record is from RNAcentral.
UACGUAGGGUGCGAGCGUUGUCCGGAAUUACUAGGCGUAAAGGGCAGGCAGGCGGAUCCAUAAGUUUAUCGUUUAAGGCGUCGGCUUAACCGGCGUAGGGCGGUAGAUACUGUGGAUCUGGAAUGCGGUUGGGGAAGACAGAAUUCCUGGUGUAGCGGUGGAAUGCGCAGAGAUCAGGAGGAAUACCGAAGGCGAAGGCAGUCUUCCAAGCCGUUAUUGACGCUCAACUGCGAAGGUGUGGGUAUCAAACAGGAUUAGAUACCCGUGUAGUCCCUGA